This is a long non-coding RNA of Rosa chinensis, 1111 nucleotides long. RefSeq lists it as uncharacterized. NCBI's taxonomy places the organism in Eukaryota, Viridiplantae, Streptophyta, Magnoliopsida, Rosales, Rosaceae. The record is from RefSeq and is a predicted model, not a curated record. The transcript has 3 exons.
GGUUUUGGGGGGGGGGGGGGGGGGGGGGGAGAGGGUGGAUGAUUUGGUCAUGUAAAACAUCGAUUUGUCUGGUGUUUGGAGCAAUGUGAUCCAUAACCAUGAGGGCUUGCUCUCUACAGGCGUGUCCAUCCUUCUCUGGUUGCAAUUUGCUUCUCCCAUCUUUGGUGGUUCUGCUUCCCUUUUCGUGGGCUACAUGGUAAACACCCAGGAGAUGAUUGAGAAGGGCACACCUUGGUGAUCUGGGAUCUGGACUACGUGAAGCUUUCCCUAACCCUUUUCACUGAUUUCAUUGCUGUUUUAUUCGCACACUCAUAGUCAGAGUAAUUUUGUCUCUAACCAGCUUAGAAUACCAGCUUUCCUUUUAAAGGGUCCUUCCCCGUUUUCGUUGUACAAUCUUCCAGUACAAUCUUCGUACUAUGCUAUCUCAGCAGAAAAACCCACCUAGGGAUUUGCAACCUCCGCCGCUACAGCCACAACUAGCUUCAAAUCAUGGUCAGGCUCAACCCGAUAAGCAUCCAUUCUCUAUAAGACUAUUACAAGAUUAGAUGUAUCGCCUGGAAGUGUCUCUCGUUACAAAAAUGUAGAACAAGAACAAGGCUGGGAAAGUGUUCUUUUACUGCAUCAGGCCACAGUUUGUGACGGCUACGAAUCCUCUUUCUGCCACGACAGCUUUCUUGUCUCCUGUCAGCAUGAUUGGCUGAGACCUUCUAAAGCUGUGUUCUUUAAGAUUCGGAGGCUUGACAUGUUUCAAAAGAAGAUGGAGAGAGAGACAUCAUGGUUAGAAGAAGAGGAGUCUGUAUGACAUAUUAGAAUCUGCUUCUUCUUGGCCCCUUGGCUGGUAUGCUUAAAUAGACUCAGCCGUGUAUGCUUGAGCUAUUAGUUAAUUUUCUGCUGCUGAUGUUUUUCUGUUUGAAAAAGUAUACAAGAUAGAUUUCGGUGAAUGCAGAAGUGAUAGGUGCAUUGUUUUGUCGUGUCACUAUAUUGUCCUUGCGAUUUGAAAGAAGUGGUCAUUAUAUGUUUGUCGGAAGGUUUAAGGCUAUGUGUAUAAGAUUGCACAUUAAAGUUUUGUUAUGCACUUAUGCCUGCAGAUUUGUAAACAAAAGGAAAAAAG